GGAAAAUUCUUUGUGUUGUUGUUGAUCAUGUUUUUUAAAUAGUAACGACAAAACUGUGUUAUGAAAAGCAUCAGUGCAUUUGACAGAUUUUAAAUAAACUGAUUCUCCAAUUUAGUAUAUAAAGGAAAACUGUAGAGACUUGCUAUUAAUGUGAUUUAGUAAAAAGGGAACAAAUCAAUCAAAGGAAGAGCUAAAGGAACGUGAAAGCUCUGUGAUGGAGAACUGUUUAAAACGUCGUGACAUGGACAGUGACCUGGAGGAAACGGGUGAUAGUGACUUUGAAAAUGACCUUGAAACAAGUCUUUUAACCGCAGAAAAAAACCGGCACCAGCAGGGUGAUGCCGGUGGACUAGUCAGUCCGUACAAGCGUCUGAAAGUGGAGGAUUUGACUCAGUCGUCUGCUGACUGGGCCUCAGGGCAGGGGGAGGCUCAUAGUCUGCUGAAAUCUUUGGACCACAAUCACAGCCCAGCAA
Molecule: long non-coding RNA, 473 nt
Organism: Physella acuta
Lineage: Eukaryota; Metazoa; Mollusca; Gastropoda; Physidae
Source: RefSeq, a predicted model, not a curated record